RNAcentral lists this ribosomal RNA (240 nucleotides) under uncultured bacterium. RNAcentral describes it as "partial 16S ribosomal RNA". It matches the Rfam family "Bacterial small subunit ribosomal RNA", at positions 94 to 334 of the family's 1533-position model. The record is from RNAcentral.
AGCGGCGGACGGGUGAGUAACGCGUGGGUAACCUGCCUCAUACAGGGGGAUAACAGUUAGAAAUGACUGCUAAUACCGCAUAAGACCACAGCACCGCAUGGUGCAGGGGUAAAAACUCCGGUGGUAUGAGAUGGACCCGCGUCUGAUUAGCUAGUUGGUAAGGUAACGGCUUACCAAGGCGACGAUCAGUAGCCGACCUGAGAGGGUGACCGGCCACAUUGGGACUGAGACACGGCCCAA